RNAcentral lists this ribosomal RNA (301 nucleotides) under uncultured bacterium. RNAcentral's name for it is "partial 16S ribosomal RNA". It matches the Rfam family "Bacterial small subunit ribosomal RNA", at positions 509 to 809 of the family's 1533-position model. The record is from RNAcentral.
CAGCAGCCGCGGUAAUACGAAGGGGGCUAGCGUUGUUCGGAUUUACUGGGCGUAAAGCGCACGUAGGCGGACUUUUAAGUCAGGGGUGAAAUCCCGGGGCUCAACCCCGGAACUGCCUUUGAUACUGGGAGUCUUGAGUUCGAGAGAGGUGAGUGGAAUUGCGAGUGUAGAGGUGAAAUUCGUAGAUAUUCGCAGGAACACCAGUGGCGAAGGCGGCUCACUGGCUCGAUACUGACGCUGAGGUGCGAAAGCGUGGGGAGCAAACAGGAUUAGAGACCCCUGUAGUCCCUGUCUCUUAUAA